GACUCAGGAUGGGGUCAUGGCUGAGACUAUGAGGGCUGCUCGUGCAUGACCCUGCCUGCUGGCCUCCAUGGGCCCACUAUCUGAAUGUGGUUACCCUUCUCCCCAGGACCAGGUGCCACCUCCUCUGGGAAGCUUUCCCUGCCCGUCCACAGGGUAUGCCUCCUUGUUCCUCUCCUGCCAUCGGUUUACGUGCCUGUCUCCAUCAACAGACCAGGAGCUCCUGAGGACAGGGACUGAGUCUGCCUGAUUCAUCUCUGCAUUCCUAGCACUUACCUUGGUGCUUAGUGAAAGCUCGAACCUGCCUGGGUUCCCACCUUGUCUCUGCUACCCCCAGCUCUGUGAACUCAGAGUCAUUUUUCUCUCCCCGAGUGGCACCGGGCUCAGCAGACACUCUGGCCAUGAAGGCAUCUUCUGACUCAAGCAGGUCUAGAUGUCUACCCCCAAGGAAUCCCAGAACAGUUGAUCUCUCUUUUUAUUUUUUUAUUUUUUGAGAUGGAGUUUUGCUCUUGUUGCCCAGGCUGGAGUGCAAUGGCGUGAUCUCGGCUCACUGCAACCUCUGCCUCCCAGGUUCAAGCAAUUCUCCUGCCUCAGCCUCCCGAGUAGCUGGGAUUAUAGGCAUGCACCACCACGCCCAGCUCCUGCCUCUGUGAGUCACCCCCCCAAGUGCUCUGCCUGCAGCCACUUGCCCUGGCAGGAAGACCCUUGGGCAGGCCCCACCAUGGCUCCACUCUGGAAUGCUGGGCACUUUGCCCCACUACGCUCUACAAAGGCAUCCCUUCCUUCUGGGCAGAUAUAAAACACAGAGGGGCCCAGAUCUCAGGCCAGCCUGAACUGAGCUUCUCUGCAGGAUGAUCUCCUCACCAGAACCCCUGGACAGGAGGGUCUGCCAGAUCCCAGGAAGGAGAUGUGUGAAGCCAGCCUUGGUGACACUCCUGGGCCCCAUCCAGUCAGUUAUGAAAAGUCUCUGCUGCUAAACUCAUCUGCCUCAGCCUGUCUCUGGCCUGUCUUCUUUCUUUCUGCAUUUCUUCCUUUUAAAAAAGUUUAUUGCUCUUUUCUAAUGUUAAAAGUAACACAUACUGAUUGCAGAAAAUCCAGAAAAGCACAAAGAAAAAAAUUAAAAUCACUCGUAAUGUCAA
This 1136-nucleotide long non-coding RNA is filed under the name Homo sapiens (human). RNAcentral's name for it is "long intergenic non-protein coding RNA 2517". The record is from RNAcentral. Lineage: Eukaryota; Metazoa; Chordata; Mammalia; Primates; Hominidae.